GAUCAGUGAUGAAAAUAGGUAAGUCUGAGUAUCAGAUUCCAGCCUACCCUAUGCAGGGCCUCAACAGUUCUGAGA
This is a small nucleolar RNA of Otolemur garnettii (small-eared galago), 75 nucleotides long. The record is from Ensembl. NCBI's taxonomy places the organism in Eukaryota, Metazoa, Chordata, Mammalia, Primates, Galagidae.